GGUGGCUCAGCGAUAGAGUGCUUGCCUUGCAUGCAUGAAGCCCUGGGUUCGAUUCCUCAGCACCA
Molecule: transfer RNA, 65 nt
Filed under: Dipodomys ordii (Ord's kangaroo rat)
Lineage: Eukaryota; Metazoa; Chordata; Mammalia; Rodentia; Heteromyidae
Rfam family: tRNA
About the family: Transfer RNA (tRNA) molecules are approximately 80 nucleotides in length.
Source: Rfam by way of RNAcentral